Molecule: transfer RNA, 73 nt
Filed under: Canis lupus familiaris (dog)
Lineage: Eukaryota; Metazoa; Chordata; Mammalia; Carnivora; Canidae
Also listed under: 1 other name
Rfam family: tRNA
About the family: Transfer RNA (tRNA) molecules are approximately 80 nucleotides in length. Their secondary structure includes four short double-helical elements and three loops (D, anti-codon, and T loops).
Source: Rfam by way of RNAcentral
GCCUGGCUGGCUAAGUCAGUAGAGCAUGUGACUCUUGAUCUUGAGGUCAUGAGUUUGAGCCCCAUGUUGGGCA